UUUCCGUAGGUGAACCUGCGGAAGGAUCAUUAAAGUUAUAGUCUCACGGCCCUCUGGGCUGGGGUAUUCUAUACCACCCUUUGUUUAUUACACCUUUGUUGCUUUGGCAGGCCUCCCCUCCGUCUGCUGGCUCUGGCCGGCUCGCGUCUGCUAGAGGACCUCAACUCUGUUUGUAUUUGCAGUCUGGGUACUCUUUAAUAGUGAAAACUUUCAACAACGAACCUCUUGGAUCUGGCCUCGAUGAAGAACGCAGCACAUCGGAAGAGCACACGUCCGAAC
This 279-nucleotide unclassified non-coding RNA is filed under the name plant metagenome. RNAcentral's name for it is "partial contains small subunit ribosomal RNA, internal transcribed spacer 1, and 5.8S ribosomal RNA". The record is from RNAcentral.